Balaenoptera ricei (Rice's whale) is the source of this 3060-nucleotide RNA transcript. It is a transcript of the gene named 2-hydroxyacyl-CoA lyase 1, with no coding region annotated. The record is from RefSeq and is a predicted model, not a curated record. The transcript has 20 exons. NCBI's taxonomy places the organism in Eukaryota, Metazoa, Chordata, Mammalia, Artiodactyla, Balaenopteridae.
ACUCUGCGUAAGCACCACCCGCCCUACGCGGUCUCGAAAUGGCUCCGGGUGGCGGACUAAGACGACAGGCCUCCGCGGUUCGACCUCUCACCUGCUCGGCACAGGCUUCCACCUCCAGCUAGUCCCGCCUCCUCCUGACACUCUGCCGGCCGCGAAUGGAGGGCCCUGGAAAAGGCCCGGUUGUGACAGGAGAGAGAGUGUGUUUACAUCUCACCUCACCCCGAGCGGACUGGUUUCAGCCCCGCCUCCUCCUCCCCGCCGUUUAAAACGGUGGGUCGCCCUCCUCCUCACUCAGAGGAGCGGCCCCACAGUUGGUGUCUCCGGGGUUGGUUUGGCUGGGUGACUCCGCGUCAGCCUGCUGUCCACUGCGAGAGGGCCUCGAACUUCAGGUGGAAGAUGUCGGAAAGUAACUUGGCAGAGCGCAGCGACGGACGCGAGAGGCUGGUGUCUGGUGCUGAAGUCGUCGCCCAGGCCCUGAAAACACAGGAUGUGAAUUACAUGUUUGGCAUCGUAGGCAUCCCGGUGACCGAAAUCGCCCUUGCUGCCCAGGAGGUGGGCAUCAGAUACAUCGGGAUGAGGAACGAGCAGGCGGCUUGUUAUGCUGCCUCUGCGGUUGGAUAUCUGACAGGCAGGCCGGGAGUUUGCCUUGUUGUUUCUGGCCCAGGUCUCAUCCAUGCUUUGGGUGGUAUGGCAAAUGCAAACAUGAACUGUUGGCCCUUGAUUGUGAUUGGUGGUUCCUCUGAAAGAAGUCAGGAAACAAUGGGGGCCUUUCAGGAGUUUCCUCAGGUUGAAGCUUGUAGAUUAUAUAGCAAGUUCUCUGCCCGGCCAAGUAGCAUAGAAGCUAUUCCCUCUAUUAUCGAAAAGGCAGUGAGAAGCAGUAUUUAUGGUCGUCCAGGUGCUUGCUAUGUUGACAUACCUGCAGAUUUUGUGAACCUCCAGGUGAAUGUGGAUUCUAUAAGGUACGUGGAGUGCUGCACGCCCCCUCCUGUUAGUAUGGCAGAAAGCUCUGCUGUAUGUAUGGCAGCAUCUGUUAUUAGGAAUGCCAGACAGCCCCUUCUUAUCAUCGGGAAAGGUGCUGCUUAUGCCCGUGCAGAGGAGAGUAUCGGGAAAUUGGUGGAGCAAUGUAAAUUGCCAUUUCUGCCCACCCCCAUGGGAAAGGGUGUUAUCCCUGACAACCAUCCAAACUGUGUAGGUGCUGCCAGAUCCAGGGCUUUGCAAUUUGCUGAUGUAAUUGUGUUAUUUGGUGCCAGAUUAAAUUGGAUUUUACAUUUUGGACUGCCUCCAAGAUAUCAGCCAGAUGUGAAGUUUAUCCAGGUUGAUAUCUGUGCAGAAGAGUUGGGGAAUAAUGUAAGACCUGCUGUGACCUUGCUAGGAGACAUAAAUGCUGUUACUAAACAGCUUUUAGAACAAUUUGAGAAAACACCAUGGCAGUAUCCUCCUGAGAGCAAGUGGUGGAAAAUUCUGAGAGAAAAAAUGAAGAGCAAUGAAGCUUUAUCCAAGGAAUUAGCUUUCAAAAAAUCCCUGCCUAUGAAUUAUUACACAGUAUUCUACCACAUUCAAGAACAACUGCCCAGAGACUGUUUUGUGGUGAGCGAAGGAGCAAAUACUAUGGAUAUUGGGCGCACUGUGCUUCAAAACUACCUUCCUCGUCACAGGCUUGAUGCUGGUACUUUCGGAACAAUGGGAGUCGGUUUGGGAUUUGCCAUUGCAUCUGCUCUAGUGGCUAAAGAUAGAAACCCAGGGCAGCGGGUCAUCUGUGUGGAAGGAGACAGUGCAUUUGGAUUUUCUGGCAUGGAAGUGGAAACCAUCUGCAGGUACAACUUGCCAAUCAUACUUUUGGUGGUGAAUAACAAUGGAAUUUACCAAGGUUUUGAUACAGAUACUUGGAAGGAAAUGUUAAAAUUUGGAGAUGCUACUACAGUGGCCCCUCCAAUGUGUCUUCUGCCACACUCACAUUACGAGCAUGUCAUGACUGCAUUUGGAGGCAAAGGGUAUUUUGUACAAACACCAGAAGAACUCCAGAAAUCCCUGAGGCAGAGCCUGGCAGACACAACUAAACCCUGUCUUAUCAACAUCAUGAUUGAGCCGCAAGCCAUGCGGAAAGCCCAGGAUUUUCACUGGCUGACCCGCUCUAAUAUGUAAAUAAAGAUGCCAAUGAGUGACUUGAGGAGUUUUCUCUUUCCCGAAAGAACUUACUAAGCCAAAGGAGAAAUCACACCACACCCAAACUAAUAAUUUCAAGGAACGAUGAGAAUUCAGGCUUGGAAAUGACUUUUAUCAGGCCUGGAAAUAUCCAGAGACGGCAUCACCCGUGAUCUUCUUCCCAGGGGUCACUGGAGCCAGCUCUGUGGAGUGCUUAAUCUACAGCUACCUGGUUCGUCCCGAGGCUCAUUCUCUGGUCCCAGCGUGUUCCCAGGUACUGCCUCCUCACCCCAGUGAUCAGGGAGGGCUCAGGAAAUCAGACCCGCUUUCACCCUAGCCUGAGCUCUGUGUGCUCCCCGCCGUUUGCCGUGUGGUAUCAGCCAUGUUGUCACCUCUUCCGUGAAGCCGUCCUCUCUCCCAGCCCUCCUACAGCAUCCUGCGUGUACCUUCUUCACUACUCACGAUAUUCAUGAUGCAUCGAAUUCCCAUCUCCCUUCCCACCUCGACCGAGUGCCUGUGUACCCAGACGUCACCCACCCCUCGUCUUCCAGGGCCUGCGUCCUCCUGCUCUGUUUGGCAAGCUCCUCUGUGGGCUCCGCCUUGAAGAAUCUACAUAUUGCUAAGUGUAUAUAGUGAUAUGUACAUCACGGACAUUUUCUUGCAGGGGUGGCGACCUGGGGGGGUUUAUAUCACAAAAGCCGUGGCAGACGAUUCUGAGGGUGCAGCGUGGAGAGGUGAGCCAUGGAGAAGCAAAGCCCAGCCCUGGUGCCUGGGUUAGACAAGCCCCACCGCCUUACAGCCAUGUAGGGGUGGGGUCUGGGCCUCGAGGCCCUGACGGAACUGGGCCAAGUUCCUCCUCCAAAUGGAGGUCAGAAGUAAAGUUGAGUUACUGGAAAUAAAUAUUUCUUUCACACUUGA